RNAcentral lists this long non-coding RNA (4942 nucleotides) under Brassica rapa (field mustard). Its description in RNAcentral is "long non-coding RNA (BRAP_LNC006363)". The record is from RNAcentral. Lineage: Eukaryota; Viridiplantae; Streptophyta; Magnoliopsida; Brassicales; Brassicaceae.
GUCUAUAAACCGAAUAUCAGACUCUUGCUGGCUACCAACGACAUUGAUGAUGAGCUUAAGCUGGUUGAGACAUUCUGUCCCCGGGAAUAUCGGUUUUCGACCAAGAAUCUCCGCGAAUAUGCAUCCAACUGACCAGACAUCAAUGGAGGUUCCGUAGUUGUCACAGCAGAGAAGAAGCUCAGGUGCUCUGUACCAACGCGUGACCACAUACUCGGUCAUGAACUGUUCAUUUCCCUGGCUCGUCCUGGCUAACCCGAAGUCGCAUAUCUUUAGAUCGCAGUUAGCAUUGACUAAGAGGUUCCCUGGCUUCAAAUCUCGGUGAAGGAUGUUUGCAGAGUGAAGAUACUUCAAUCCUCUAAGCAACUAAACAAACAACAAAACAAAAACCAAUAUCACUAACUAACUAAUGAUACAUGAGACCCUGGCGAGUGACCGUGACCGCUGGGACGAAAUUAAUAUAACAUGAUUAUAGGCUUGAAACCCGAACCUCCUGGUAUUAUAAAAAAUAAGAAGAUAAUACAUGAGAAAUGUAGAGUUACAUUACCUGGAACAAGAAGUAUUUGCAGUGAUCAUCAGAAAGAGACUGAGAGGAUUUAAUGAUCUGAUGAAGAUCAGUAUCCAUCAGCUCAUAAACCAAGUAAACAUCUUUGAAACUCGAUUUAUUCGUAGGGAGCAUAACGUCUUUAAGCGCGAUCACGUUAUCAUGCCUCACGUGCCUAAGAAGCUUGAGCUCUCUCAGCGUCCUCAAGGCGUCAACGCGAUUCUCGAACACAUUGUGAAUCUUUUUGAUGGCGACCUUCUCGUUGGUCUCGCGGUUGAUGGAAGAACAAACCACACCGUAAGCUCCUCUUCCGAUGGGUUUGAUGGGAACAUACUUAGUGUCGAUUUCGAAGAGUGUUUGCCACAUGGAGUAGUAAUGUUUCCCUUGCUGUUUGAUCCCAUUUGGUGGCUCAACUAACAUCGCCAUGCUUUCUUGUCCCUAAACUCAACCAAAAACCCAAAUUCUCAUUUUCUUUUCCUUAAAUUGAGUAAAUCUUCAAAAAAGGGUUUAAAGAGAUUCUUGAUUUUCUUGAAAAGUUUCAAAUUUUUUCCUUUACUUAGCUAUCAAUCAAACUUUCAAAGUAAUUAUGACUAAACUCUUUAUCUAAUUUAAGAAAAACAAAAUUUAAGUUAAAACAAGCAAAGAAAAGAAGAUUUCGACAUACCCAGAUUGUAAUUACAGAAGCUGAAUUGUUGUUGGUUGUGUGCUUUGAUUGGUUGGUGAUCAGAGAAAGAAGAGAAGGGUAUGAUUGGAUCUGAAUUGAGAUGGGUUCUUCAUACUUAUCAAGAAGAUAUAAAAGAGAGAGAGAAGUUAAGAAGUGGUGAGACCCAUACCGGGGAAUGUUAGAGAAGAUGAAGAAGAUGAAGCAAUACGUUAUGUUUGAUGAAGAAGCCUUUCUUACUUCUUUUCUUUUUUCAGAAAAAAAAGUAAAAUAAUUUUAUUUGGAAAGUCUGAUAAUUACGAAAACGACAUUCUUUUGUAAGAUAUUUUUUUUGUUUCUCCUUUAAUAUAAAGAAAGCUUCAGUUACAAACUAUUUAAAUUCUAGAUAAAUGUAUAUCUAAAAUAGUUACAUGGACUCUCCAUAUUACACGUAAUAAUGCAAAUUAAAAAUAGGUUAUUGAAUCAAAGAAUUUAAUACUAUGUACUUUGAUUUGUAAUUAAUAAAGAAAGAGAUAGCAUUAAGUUUUAUUACAUUUUUUUACUUCAUAUAUAUAUACAUACGUACACGAAUAUGGAGACUUGAGAAGAGCGAAGGAUUGGAUCAAGCAACCGGCUAAGCACGUGGGUACAGUGGAAUAUGACACGUGGCUUACGUAUAUUGGGCAACACUCUUUUUUGUCCGAAGUUUCCACUGAAAGCUGGUGAAGUAAAACCUAACUACAAAGCCUGGAAAGUGCGUCAAGUACAACAACUCUUAGAUACUCUCUCUCGGUCAGAGGCUUUUGAAAAGGAGAUUUAAAAUGAUAAGCGUGGCUGCCGGGAUCAAUAAUACUCUCUCAUCCAAACUAUAAAAAACAUGUUUAUCUUUUAGGUCGAGUUUUUUAAUGUAAUAUAAAAAAACUUUUAGCAUGUUUAUUGUAGAUCUCUUAAAUUGAAUUUUUUAACGUAAAACAAGAUACGGUCUCUUAGCUUUUAACUAUAAAAAAUAAGAGACGUCUUUUAAUUUUUUUUAGUUAAAAGCUAAGAGACCGUAUCUUAUAUUACGCUACGAGACCCAACCUAAGAGACCUGCAAUAAACAUGCUCUUAAUACUCUACACAGAAAAACAUUAAAAUCAUCAUCCUGCAUCAACUAUAGAGAUAGAAUAUUUACCGAAUAAAUAAGUUUUGAUACAUGUGUACAUAUAUAAUCUAAUUAUGUAUAUCUAAUUAUAUAUAACAAUUGUAUCAGAACUUAAUUUUCUGUUGAGUAAAAUAAGUCUCACUUUAAACCAAAACUCAAAUCACAAAUUUAAAUCGACACAAACUAAACAGAAAAUAGUUUUAGUAAGUUUCAAGCCGGAUACUUAAAACCAAAACUAAAGGGUUUGGUUCACUCAUUAGACAUUAGAGCACCCCCAUUAGUGAACUUAUGGGAGGUUCACACAGAUUCCAAAAAAAAAAAAAUAUUAAAAUAAUGAAUAGUGAUGAACUUGUCUUUCUUCACUUCUUCCUAGUGAACCAGGUUCAUCACUGUAGCGCGGAUCUCACAGCAUGUGGCGGCCCGCGAUUGGUCCAAUUAAUUAAUUUUUUUUUUUAAAACAAAAAUCAAACAAAAAAAAUAAUAAAAAAAUACUUUGUGAACCCCUUUCAUGAGGUUCAGUAAUGGGGGUGCUAUUAUAUUCUACAUAAGUUUUUGCCUUUUCCUGCCCCUUUUACCAGCCUGCUUCUGAUUCUUCGUACUAUUCUGUUUCCCGUCACUAUCAUCUAUCUUAGUUACAACUUCGUUACAAGCAGAAACAUCCUCCUGGGCCUUGACCUUGCUUUUCUCGUCUUUCCUCUUUUCAACAAAGCUAAUUACUCCUCGGAGAACAACAUCAGUAUCAUCGUCCUGCAUCAACUCUUCAGCUAACUCAGCUGGAGUAACCUCCGUAGAAUCUAUCAGCUUCUCGAUUUUUUCACAUAGAGGAUGGUUUAAGCCAUCUAAACCAAGGUAAUUAGAAACCAAUGUCCUAAAUGCUAAGCCUGUACAAUACGACAUAUUGAUAUGCAUAUCCAUUCUUCCAGGACGUAGCAACGCAGGAUCAAGCCGGUCUUUGUGGUUUGUCGUGAACACGAUGAUUCUUUCAUCUCCAAAACUUGACCAUAACCCAUCAAUGAAGUUCAGAAUCCCUGAGAGAGUCAACUACUCAAGACAAUAUUAGUAAAGAUUAUCUCAAAUCAAAUUAAACCCAAACUUAUUCACAAUUUGUUCUUAUAAAAAAAUAUCACCUGUGUGUCUUGAUCCUCACUAUCGUCAUACUCAUCGUCCCUGCGUUUCCUCUUUCCUCUAGCUUUUCCAAUUUCUUGAUUCUCGUCUUCCCUAUCUCUCACCUCAGCAUUGCAAUCAAUAUCCUCAAUCACCAAAAUAGAACGAUUCGUGGUGGAUAACAAAAUCCUCUUCAGUUCACCAUUGUCAUAAAUAUUACUAAGAUCAAGAUCAAACACAUCGAACUUUAGGUAAUUAGCCAUGGCGGCUAUCAAGCUAGAUUUACCAGUUCCUGGUGGGCCAUACAACAAGUAACCACGUUUCCAUGCUUUACCAACUCUCUUGUAAAACUCUUUCCUCUUCAGAAACCUCUCCAAGUCAUCGAUUAUCUUCUUCUUUGCACUUGGAUCCAUCGCCAAUGUGUCGAACGUCGAAGGAUGCUCUAGACUUAUACAUCCCCAGCUCCCGCAAGAAGAACCAUCGUCGUCCCUGCUCCCAGGCACAUCUCGGCUAUAGAGAUUCACCACUCUCAGGUCCCUCUUGAUCUUUUCCGACUCCGCGAUAACGUGGUUCAAGUAAGAGUCCAAGACUCUCUCUCUCAGCUUCUUCUCGAAUGUGAGCUCGUAGUACCGUUUUACUUUCUCACUGUUCUCCUUCUCCGUCUGAACAUAUAACCACCUCACCUGGAAGUCCUCGAACGUAUCGCGGAUCGCUUCUCCUUUGGCUAUCGUGACAUUCAAGUGCUUCUGCUUCGGAGUUUUUGCAACGCGUAAACGCUCAGUCUCGGGGCCGAUCUUGGUGCGGAGGUACAUCUCCGCCGCUUCGUAGACUAGGUUUCUCUUAUACUUGGAGUUCUCGUCGAUAAUCAACGUGAGAUUCUUCGAACUCGGAGUGAAUAGUCUGCCCAGUACGUUCUCGUAGAUGUAGGAACGGAGCUGGUCCGGUACGAAAUCGUUGAGCAUCGAUCUAAAGAGCAUCGAGAAGCCACUUAGAGAUGCACACACUGAGAACAUAGACGACGGUGAGAAAGAAUUGGAUGAAGGAAACAUCUCAAGCGAUGGAGGGUUAGGAUGGCUACCAACGACGUUGAUGAUGAGCUUAAGCUGGUUGAGACAUUCCGUCCCCGGGAAUAUCGGUUUUCGACCAAGAAUCUCCGCGAAUAUGCACCCAACCGACCAGACAUCAAUGGAGGUUCCGUAGUUGUCACAGCAGAGAAGAAGCUCAGGUGCUCUGUACCAACGCGUGACCACAUACUCGGUCAUGAACUGUUCAUUUCCCUGGCUCGUUCUAGCUAACCCGAAGUCGCAUAUCUUUAGAUCGCAGUUAGCGUUGACUAAGAGGUUCCCUGGCUUCAAAUCUCGGUGAAGGAUGUUUGCAGAGUGAAGAUACUUCAGUCCUCUUAGCAACUAAACAAACAACAAAACAAAAACCAAUAUCACUAACUAACUAAUAAUACAUCAGACCCUGGCCAUUGUGUCAGAGGUCACUAGUUCGAGUGACGGCUGGGACGAAAU